RNAcentral lists this long non-coding RNA (549 nucleotides) under Rattus norvegicus (Norway rat). RNAcentral's name for it is "long non-coding RNA NONRATT032591". The record is from RNAcentral. Lineage: Eukaryota; Metazoa; Chordata; Mammalia; Rodentia; Muridae.
GGCUUUGACUGUAUGUCUCACCCAAACCUUAGGAGUCGGGCUCUCUGUUCAACUGGUACCAGAAGCAACUCGUCCAUGAGCAAACCUAACCCCUCCAUAAGCUGGUUAAUUAUCAUCUCUGAUUUUUUUCUCCUCUGGAAGAGCACACAUGUACAGUCUGAGAUAAGAGCUGAUAUUUUUGCUUGUUGGGAAAUCCUUGAACCAAACUGGAAGAAGAGGAAAAGGCCUUUGUAUCCUUAAUCUUUCCGCACUGAGCUGGAUCUGUAUAGUUAAUAUGGAAAACUGUAACUGUGUAAUGAGAAGGGGUGUGGGCCAUGUGGGUGAGUGGAAUUCCUUACAGUACUUUCUUUUAGAUGUCUUAAUUUACUCUCUUUGUAUUUCGAUAGAUCCAGGUGUUUGGACAGAGCUGGUCUUGGUCCCCAGUCCCCUCUCUUCAUAUCUCUGAAACCACAGGUCUCUCCAGACUGAGCUGUGUCCAGGAAGUGACCAGGUUUCCCACCUCCUAUCACAUGCCUAUCUCCUAUCUGAAACACUUCCAGGAAGAUGGCA